This 484-nucleotide ribosomal RNA is filed under the name uncultured bacterium. Its description in RNAcentral is "partial 16S ribosomal RNA". It matches the Rfam family "Bacterial small subunit ribosomal RNA", at positions 28 to 523 of the family's 1533-position model. The record is from RNAcentral.
GACGAACGCUGGCGGCGUGCUUAACACAUGCAAGUCGAACGAUGAAGCCGGAGCUUGCUCUGGUGAAUUAGUGGCGAACGGGUGAGUAACACGUGAGUAACCUGCCCUCGACUCUGGGAUAACUGCGGGAAACUGUAGCUAAUACCGGAUACGACCCUCGGAGGCAUCUCCUGGGGGUGGAAAGAAUUUCGGUCAAGGAUGGCCUCGCGGCCUAUCAGCGAGUUGGUGAGGUAAAGGCUCACCAAGGCGACGACGGGUAGCCGGCCUGAGAGGGUGACCGGCCACACUGGGACUGAGACACGGCCCAGACUCCUACGGGAGGCAGCAGUGGGGAAUAUUGCACAAUGGGCGCAAGCCUGAUGCAGCAACGCCGCGUGAGGGAUGACGGCCUUCGGGUUGUAAACCUCUUUUAGCAGGGAAGAAGCGAAAGUGACGGUACCUGCAGAAAAAGCACUGGCUAACUACGUGCCAGCCGCCGCCGUAA